Molecule: ribosomal RNA, 592 nt
Filed under: uncultured bacterium
Lineage: Bacteria
Description: bacterial SSU rRNA
Rfam family: Bacterial small subunit ribosomal RNA
Source: RNAcentral
CAGGAAGCGAUAGCGCCCACUGGGAGUACGUGCAGCUGACUCAAGAUGACGGGCCGCCCAGCGUGAGCAUGUGUUAUCGAUGAUACGCGAGACUACCGGCUGACUGCAGGGACGACGGAGACCGAGCCCGCAAGGCUCUGCAGAGUGCUGCAUGGUGUCGUCAGCUCGUGCGUGAGUGUCGGGUCAAGUCCCAUAACGAGCGCAACCCUGCGUCCAGUGCCAGCGGUACGGCCGGGCACUCUGGACGGACUGCCUACGCAAGUAGAGAGGAAGGCGGGGAUGACGUCAAAUCAGCACGGCCCUUACGUCCGGGGCGACACACGUGCUACAAUGGCCGGCACAGAGGGAAGCCACCCCGCGAGGGGGAGCGGAUCCCGAAAGUCGGUCACAGUCCGGAUCGGGGGCUGCAACCCGCCCCCGUGAAGCUGGAAUCGCUAGUAAUCGCGCAUCAGCCAUGGCGCGGUGAAUACGUUCCCGGGCCUUGUACACACCGCCCGUCAAGCCAUGGGAGCCGCGGGCGCCUGAAGCCGGGGGUCCACCCCCGUCUAGGGCGAACGUGGUGACUGGGGCUAAGUCGUAACAAGGUAACCUA